This 253-nucleotide ribosomal RNA is filed under the name uncultured bacterium. Its description in RNAcentral is "partial 16S ribosomal RNA". It matches the Rfam family "Bacterial small subunit ribosomal RNA", at positions 524 to 776 of the family's 1533-position model. The record is from RNAcentral.
UACAGAGGGGGCAAGCGUUGUUCGGAAUUACUGGGCGUAAAGGGCGCGUAGGCGGCCCGCUAAGUCGAACGUGAAAUCCCCGAGCUCAACUCGGGAACUGCGUCCGAUACUGGCGGGCUUGAAUCCGGGAGAGGGAUGCGGAAUUCCAGGUGUAGCGGUGAAAUGCGUAGAUAUCUGGAGGAACACCGGUGGCGAAGGCGGCAUCCUGGACCGGCAUUGACGCUGAGGCGCGAAAGCGUGGGGAGCGAACAGG